Molecule: ribosomal RNA, 637 nt
Filed under: uncultured bacterium
Lineage: Bacteria
Description: bacterial SSU rRNA
Rfam family: Bacterial small subunit ribosomal RNA
Source: RNAcentral
GUUCUUCGGAGAAGUGCAUCGGAAACUGGGAGACUUGAGUGCACAAUAAGACAGUGGAACUCCAUGUGUAGCGGUGGAAUGCGUAUAUAUAUGGAAAAACACCAGUGGCGAAGGCGGCUGUCUAGUCUGUAACUGACGCUGAGGCUCGAAAGCAUGGGUAGCGGAUUAGAUUACCUGCCCGGCCACCCCAUGCUGUAUGCCAUGAGUGCUAAGUGUUGGAGGGCCAUUGCCCUUCAGUGCUGCAGCUAACGCAUUACCCACUGGGCCUGGGAAGUACGACCGCAAACUCGAAACACUUAAGUGUUGACCGCCCAACGCACGAACGGAGGAGUUGUGGUUUAAUUCGAAGCUACGCUAACAAACUUACGAGGUGUUGACAUCUUCGGCCAAUCGUAGAGAUGAUACCUUCACUUCGAAACAGAAUGAUGGUGGUGCAUGGCUGCCCUCGGCUCGAGAUGUGAGAUGUUGGGUUAAAGUCCCGCACCGACCGCACCCUUUAUUAUCAGUUGCCAGCCUUUAAUUGGGCACUCUGGUGAGACUGGCCGGUGACAAACCAUAAGAAGGUGGGGAUGACGUCAUAUCAUCAUGCCCCUUUAUGACCUGGGCUACACCCGUGCUACAAUGUGACCGGUACACG